UUGUUGAUAGCUGGGUUCUUUGUAAUUGAAAAUUUUUGACAUGCAGCUUAUGCCCAUGUCAGUUUGGAGGAUAUCUCAAUGUCUUGUUUCAUUAAUGGUUUAACUUAAGUUGGUUACUUCACUGGUUUGUGCUUUUAUUCUUUAGUAGCUAAUCAAGUAUAAGAAGUGAGGGCAUGAAAUGUACACGAUUCAAGUACUAGAAUGUACCAUAUUGUUUGCUUGUUGGCCGCCGGGUGGUGGGGGGUGGGGGGAUGUAUCAUGUGUCAAACAGUAUUUGGCUGUAUAUGUAUGUAUUGGUCUAUAUUGUAUUAUGACUUGAUAUGUAAUAUCUUCCUUUUGUUUUAAAUUAUAUCCAGUCAGACUGUUCUAAGCAUAUCAUUUCCUGUUCGCAUGGUUUUGGGAUAAAUUGGAAAACUUUCUUCAAAGAAACAUGAUGGUCCACAUAUGCUUAGGUCAGUAGAUGCUGGCACUGACAAAGUUAGUGAGCAAAAAAUUUGGUGCAGAUUGUUUCUGACAAUGCACCAAGUAAUUAGCAGCAGCAAAUUUGUAAGUGGGAAGCAACCAAAUAUCUUAUAGACCUCACAUAUAGCUUGCUGUAAGUGGAUCUAACUUUCAAGGUUCUGACUUCCAUUAUUUUAGUUACAUGUAACAAACAGACCCUUAUAGAAAGUGUAACCUGAUCAACAAUUCUAGUAUUUCUCUUUCUUUCUUUAUUUUUGGUGUCGUUACUAAUAUAAUAUCUUAAAUAAAUUCCUUAUAUAUAUGCAACAAAGAGUACAUCUAUAUAAAUUUAAUUAAACCUUCUUGUGAUGUGGCCUUGGAAUUGAACCUGCAAUCAUUGUGCAUGUUCUAAUAUGCUAAACAUACAGAUCUACUUGCCCUCUUUACAAUUCAUCGUGUCCAGUAGGGAUAUGAUUGGAAAGAAAUAUCCUACAUUGUUGCUUGAGACCGUGAUUUGUUUUCAAGCAUGAUUUUUUUUUUUUGUUGAGACAAGUCUUUCUGUUUAGCCAUUUUGUUCAUCUUCUACAUUCUCAAUGCAUCUAUUUACUUGUACUCCGUGUUUUUAUGUCAAGUAAAGAAUAUCUUUCUUUUUCAAAGCAAUGUCUUACAACGACAUUUUAUUAUCCUGACAAUGCUUUCCACUGACUUUUUUCUUUUUUUCUCUUUUAUUGUCAUUUCAUUUUUCUGCUGGCAGCGGGCUUUGAAGGUACUAAAUUCUAAACAUGUUUCCUUUUAUCAUCUCAUGUUUUCUUUAUCAUAUCAUGUUUCUGCAGUCACCAAUUUUUAUAUGGUGCUUUUGUUUCACUCUUUAUAUAGUCAACUUCUAUUUUUCUUAUGUUGUGAUAUGCUUUUCUAUAACUUGUGCAGAUAAAAGGUCGUGUUCUGGGCCAUGGCCACACAGACUAUGCAAAUACAAUGUAUCAUCUUGGAACGGUAAAAUCUGAGUUGCUUAUUCAUGAAAAGAAAUUACCAUUCAGAUUUCUUUCAUUUCAACAAUACUUCGUAAUUUGGUUAAGACAUUGUGGUGUUCAGAAAAGUUUGUUGCUGUGAUUUUACUUUUCUAAUGAUGCAUUCAGAUUUUUUGCCUAAGCAUAUUUGUUCGUAUUUAUGAAAAGUUAUACCUUUAUUUCUUAGGUGCUGCAUCUACUAGGGAAGGAAAAGGACUCAGUGGACCUUAUACAGGAGUCUAUUAGGAUCCUCGAGGUUCUUUGGUGCAUGUUCAAUUAACAUGUCUUUUAUCAUGCCUUGGAAUUUGUAGAUUAUAGUUUUGAUGGCUGAUAAUUGACAAUCUUUUAGGAAAGUGGUCUAGGGGAAUCAACAACAUGUGUACGGAGGAUGAGGUAUCUUUCUCAGGUAAUAAGCUCAUGCUUUUCCUUUUCAACUUUUAUAUCCACACUUUGACUAGUAUUAACAUCAAAUCCAUACAGCUGUAUGAUAUCUUUAUGGAAAAAAUAUGUUCAAAGAUAUGGUUUUUCUAUUGAGAAAAAACCUAAGGGCUCUCAUAUUUGCUCCUUCAAAGUCAUUAAUUUGAUAUUUUUAAAGAUGCCACAGAUGUUCAUCAUCUCCUUGUAACAAUUUUUAAAGUUGCCUAAUAUGCCAUAGCUUUGCAAUGAGGCCACAUGUAUCAAAUUCUUUCUUUCUGUCUAUUCUUUUUUUCUUAAAUUUUCGAUGCUCUAAUAGUUUUUGUAGAGCUGAUUUACUUUCUUUGCACAAGAUAGAAUUCUGUUGUACCAAUUUAGUGUUCAAGAAGUUAGGGGUUUAUUGGAUAAGUUUCGGUGACUCCUUACAAGUAGAGUUUUAAAGAUGUGUGUCAUUUGAACUUGUUUGUAGAAUCAUAAUUAAGAAGGCUUGGUUUAUUGAAAGCUAUGUUAGGGCAUUAUUUAUCCAAAAGACCGGUUAUUGAUGGUUGAUGUUUCCUCUUCUUUUUGUUAAAUUUGUGUCAUGUCUUGUCUGUCACAAAGCUCUUGUAUCCUGGCAUGCCGGAAUAAUGCCUCAUUUGUUCUUCUAGGUCCAAAAUCUUGGUAUCGAGUACCGUAUCGGUACCUUAUCGGUUCGGUUCGGUACGGUGUGGUACGAUAUAUACUCUGUACCGAAAUAGUUCUCUAACAAUUUUUCUCAAAUUUAUCUUGGUACGCGUCGAUACAUGUCAGAAUGCUUCGGUAUAGGCCAAUACGCAUCUCGAUAUUACCUCGGUAUGCCUCGGUAUAGGGUUUGUACUGACUCGAAGUUGAAAUUCAUACCGGUUUUCUUCCGGUACGGUAUGGGAGCAAUUCACUUCUUCAUUCUAUCAAUUGAGCUAAAUACCAAUGCUUGUUUAAUAGAUGUUAUUGUUUUAUCUCUUAAAAUGUGAGCUAGUUGGAAUUAUUUUUACAGGCAAUUUUCUUCUCUUGCAGAUUUUGCUCAGUUCAAAUCGACUGGCUGAGGCUGAAAGUCUGCAAAGGAAGAUUUUGCACAUCUUGGAACUUUCAAAGGUUUGCCAUAAUAUCUUUUUUGUUCUGAGACUUUUUUUAAGACCUUUCCCUUUUGUUAAAUGUGCAUGACAGUGAGGUCUAAAAUUAACCCCUGAACUUGUUGAUUUUCAUUUGCUUAUGUCUUAAUUUUGUGUGAUACUUUGAUAAAUCUACAUGAAAGAUGUUUUAUGUGUCUUUUUCUUAAAGCAUUUGUACCUCUUUUCCCCAUGAAGACUACAAUAUAACAUUAGCAUUUCACGUGGCAUCCUGUUUCCUUCGAAAUUAGUUAGCUGUUAUAGUAGUCAUUACAUAGGAAUCAGUAUAGGGCAAGUAAUUUCAUAUAUCAUCACUUUCCCCUUCUUUAAGGAUGAUGAUUUGUAAUUUCACUUGUUCUUACUUGCACCAACACCUCUUUUGCAAUUCUUUGUAGUGUUUUAUAUGAUUUCUUCCUUCACCAUGAAUACACGUAUAAGGGCAUAUGUUAUUAGAAAUUCUUUAAGUCCUUAUACAAAGCUAAUACUUUAGGCUUUCUAAAGGUUUUUUUUUGCACUUCUGAUACCCCCUGAUUUAGAUUUGUAGUCCUUUCAAGGGGAGUUACUUUCAACAUUCAUUGCAUGUGAGCUUCAUCUAAACUAAUUCUUCGUAAACUCAAGUGUUAGUUUUCCUACUUUUAAGAUCUACCCUAAUGUUUUUCAUCAUUCUUCAUGCAUUUUAUUCUUAUGUUAUUUGCUUGGUGCUGUCAGCUUUGCAUAUCUUUCUUUCAGUCUAAUAUCUUUACAUCAAAGAAAAUCUUAGAAGAGACCAAAACAACUAGAAACAAUGUUUCCUAGUUCUGAAAGGACUCUCAUCUUACUUGUAGCGACCCUAGGACUCCAACGAAAUUUGAUUAAAAUGGACUUCUAACCACAUUCACAGGCUACUUGUUUUUGUGUUAUACGAAUUUAUGAAGCUGCUUUUUAGGGAUGGGAUUCAUUGGAAACCGUAAUAGCAGCUGAAGGCCUAGCCUUGACUCUACAAUCUAAUGGGAGUUUGCUGGAAGCCCAAGAACUUUUGGAACGGUUGUUUUUUAAUGUAUUCAAUUUUGUUCGUGUUCUAUUGCAUUGUAUGUGUUCAUUGAAAUUUAACAUGACAUGAUGGCUUUGCAGAUGUCUGGUUGCUAGAAAAGGGAUUCUUCCCCCAGCUCAUGUUCAGGUUUAAUUUCUUAUCCUGGUUGAAUGUGCUUUUAGUUGAUCUUUGAUAGAAUGUUCUUUGGAAUCAUCUCUCUCUCUCUCUCUCUNNNNNNNNNNNNNNNNNNNNAGUUUGUAUCUUUGUAUAGAAUAGUUCUUUGGUAAUCAUCUCUCUCUCUCUCUCUCUCUCUCUCUCUCUCUCUCUUGUUCGAUGUAUUUAUGUAUGUGCAUAUAUAUGGUUGACCAAAGCGUGGUCCAACUAUCCAUAUACAUACAUAAAUAUACAUGUUUUUUUGGUUUUUCGUUUUUUGUGUGGAUGCACGUAUAGAUACCCCCCCACCUUCCUAUAACGUAUUUGAAAUAAGCGCGCAGAGUUUCCAUAUACUUCCCUUAACAGCAGUGUUUGCAAGUUAAAUGGAGAGUUUGUCCUGAAAGUUGUAGUUAUUGGUGAAAAUACAUUCUCAACUACCAGACAGUUGUGGUCUUUGAAUCAUUAAUGCUUGCUAGAGACUAGAAGCUAGAAAGGAUGGCCUGUGUUGUUUCCAUGGACUUGAGCAUUCAAUGGAAACUAGAUAUUAUGGUUUAAAAACCUUAAAGUGGACAUUUUGUACUGAAUGCACCAGCAGCCAAAAAGCGCCUAAUGCUACUUACAAGCAUUGCAAGGCUGCACAUAUAGGCCAUAAAGAUCUAGGACCGUAGAGGUGGAGAAUUUUUGUAGAAAUUGAGAUAUAUGAUGAAGUCUCCAUUGAUGUCUUAGGAUACACAUCUUAAUCUGAUACCACUUCAGGUUUGUUGAUGAGAAAAUGAAGGAGCUAGACACAUAGAAAAUUGUAUCACAUGUUAAAUUGGUGGAUUUUGGAUCUGGAACCAUCUAAUGGCUUGUACCAAACACGAAGCUUGGUUGCUGUCAUGAAUGAGCUACUUUUAUUGGGUGAAAUUCAAGCCACAUAAUAAUGUAAUUAGAUCAUUAUCAGAUCAUUACAAGAUAUUGGAGGGUAACAAGGUCUAGGGAAACAUAAGAGUUGGCUAAGACCAAAGGCACUGAAUUUUAAACACUUAGUGAACCGAGUCAAUUAGCAAAGGUGAAAGAAGACCAUUAUAGUAGUCAAAAGAACAGAGCGCUUGUAAGCAUGUCAAACUAAAAUUAGGUUGAGAUAUAGGGAAAUGAUAGCAGAAGAACAAAUGCUUUCUCAAGGACCAAAUAAAGAAGGGAAUAGCUAAAAUGCCCGAAUAUGGACCUAUAGAAGGAAGUUUGAAAGUGCAACUGAAGUUAUAAUUUUUGUGUAAAAUAUAUUUAAAUAACUAAAAAAUGGGUACUUCAUAUGAAAUUGAACACAAAUCAAGCCGUAUGACUGAAAUCUCUUGCCCGGUCGGUUAGACUUGUUGAGAAUAUUCUUCAAAAGUGAUGAAAAUGAGAUCGCUAAGUAUAACCAAAGAUUUUCAUGAAAGGGAUUCGGAUCUUUUCGUGUGAUAAUUUGGUUUGAAGUUUGUUUAGAAACGUUUUCCUUGAAAUCCUACAUUAUUUGUUCUGAGACUAUUUGGCGGAAUAAACUAUACGUAGACGUUAUUUUUUUACAUGUUGAGAUUGGAACAUGUCAAUUGUUGGAAGAUCCAACGAGCUUGAAAAUGUCAAACAAAAGCUUGACAAACAAAAUGUUAAUGGACUUUAUGGUUAGUCACAAUAUGGUCAUUAAAUUUCGACAUCCAUCCUAUGGACCUUGUUUGUGGCACUACUGGAUUAUUUUGUGCCAUGUAGAGAAUAUUGAUUAAUGAGUUAAGAAAUGUUUCUUGGCCCCAUUAAUAUGCAACUUUAGGAGAAAUUACCAUAAUGCAACAGAUCCUAUGUGGUUGGUGGUUGAUCGUAUAUAUACACUUGCGAUAUCCCAAUGGCACAUGUAAUUUGAGUAAACAAUACGUAAGUAUAUGCUGUGUUAAACAUGCAUGAUACAUCUAUAUACAAUUUCGUAUUGUCCAUUUGCUGAUGAUAGCUAUGCAGACAAUUGUUAUUGAAGGCUGAUAGCUCAAUGUAUAUGCACACAACAUACUAUAUAAUAUUAUAGUAUAUGUACGCACAUUAUGAGGGUUUGUGUGGACGUGUAUUUAGUCCUACCUCGGCUAUGCAUUGGGUAGAUCUUGGGUACUGAUACCAAGAUAAAGAACCUAAAUAAUAUUUUGUCUAGCUUGUCUAGGUGAGGUCUUGAGCUGUUAUAAAUAGUAUCAAAGCGUACCCGACUCAUGACCUAUGUGGACUAGGGAACACUAUAACAUGGGCCCAUGUGGGUUGACUAUGGGUUAAGUGUAAUGUUUAUGAUUGGAUUUCUGGUAUUUGUGAUUGGAUUGGGAUGGAUUUGGACCCUUGGUUUCGCGUGGAUGCUUGGGCUUAAAUGAGGAGAGUAUGUGGGGACUUGUGCAUGCAUGUGUGUAGUCCUACAUUAGCUAUGCAUUAGGUAGAUCUUAGGUAAUACAGGGCCAAGAAACCUAAAUAACACAUUCUUGUCUAGCCUUUUUGGGUGCGGUCCUAUGUUAUUACAAAUCCUCUAUCAGGGUUGAGGCUGGUGUGGAACGGCAGAAGGUUGGUGCAAAGUUGUUGCUCUAGCAUUGGGCAAAAAACCCCCUCCCUAAUUUUUUCCUUUUUUAAAUAGAAAUCGGCAAUCCCCAUCAAUUUUUUGGUUUUGGUACGCUACACAAGUUGUGCAACAAAUCCGCACCCACAUGUAUAUGUAUAUAUUAUCUAUACAUUUUGCAAAGGAAAAAAUUAUUAUGUAUUGUUAUUUUAUCAUUUUAUGUUCAAAGGUUAAAAGCACUAAUAGAAACACUGAAAAACCAACCUUGGCUUUCAGUUAGUUCCAAGAGAAAAUUAAAAGUUUUGGUUUUGAUAUUCUAUCCGAUCCUUAAAAUCGUAGGUGGGCAGAAUCCAGGUCCCAUGCAAAUACUUACCCCUCAUGGAUUUAUGGUGAGACAUACAAGGGUUGCUUAUAAAGAUUUUGCAUUCGAUGUUGUCAUUUGAAAUUUCUAGCUACAUGGUACUUCUUGGUUUCGUCAGUGUGAUAAUGAUGGCAAAUAAGUGCCGAAGAUGGUUUAGCAUUGAAAUACUGUUCUGACACUUUUACCUGGCUUCUUCUCUAUAUGUUCUCUCUUUUGUAGUAUAAGAGAAUCUUGACACGGUACUCCAAGAUAGUGCUAUAUGGAAUAACCUACGAGUUGUUCUUCCUACUUGGCAAUUAGCACUGUACUUUUCAUGAUAAGCACCAAUCGCCUUGCAGCAAACCAAAGGUUGUCAAACUAUGGAUGUUAUUCCUAUUUGUGGAAGAUUGACAUUAAGUUAUAAUAUCGGUCACAAAAUAGUCUCAAACUUCAAUAAUUUUGAGCUAAAAGCCGAUCACAUAUACUUGUUGGUCAAGUCCAAAUACUUUUACCAAUACUAAGAAUGCCUUCUCGUGUAGGAUUUCCUCAUAUUAUUGAUCUUUUGUUUAAUGGAAGCAUGGACCACUAUUUUAUCGUGACAAAUAAAUUCCUAAACCAUGCUUAUGCUGAGUUCAUUUCUCUUAUCCUUGAUGCCAUUUUAACAUGAAGGCUAUUGUUAUCUUCUUUAUAUCUUUGUGUAGCUUCUAAUAUAGUUAAGGUAUGCAUUUAUAUAGAAAAUUUGUAAUGAGUACUUCUUGAACCUCAAUAAUGACAAAUUAUGAUUUUGUUAAUUUUCAUAUGAUCGAUGGUAUAUUGCAUACUUUUUUAAAAAAUAAAAUAAAGUAUCAAUCAAGGACCGGUACUAAGACUCGAACCAGUUGCUCGAUGGUGUGGUAUGGUAUGGGAUUGCCAUGCCGUUCCGAGGCGUCGACAAAGGGAGAUCCAGAGAGGAAAGGGGAGAGGGAGGAGAGAAAAAGAGAGAGAGGGCUUUCGGUCCUNNNNNNNNNNNNNNNNNNNNAGGAGGAGAGAAAAGAGAGAGAGGGCUUUCGGUCCUCCUUCCAUCUCUCUCGGCCUCUCCUCCCCUCCCUCUCCCUCCUUUCCUCUCCUCCCUCCCUCCCUCCCUCCCUCCCUCCCUCUCUCUAUCUUUUUCCUCUCUCUCCCUCACCAAUUUUUUCGAACUGAGGAGCAGAACCGAGCUGGUACACAAUACGGUUUGGUACGCACCCCAAACCGAGCAGUUCAGGGCUGUACAAAAGAACUUUGGUACUAUCAAUUGAAGUCUCAAUGGUGUGUGACUGUACUUUUUUUGGAUCUGGAUUAUUGUUUGCCUUUGGUUCAGGUGUAAGAAAUAGUGGAACAGGAAUAGUUAUUCUUCGAAUCAUUCUUGUUUCCAUUUUGCUAAAAUUGAUGGAAUUAUACUAGGCUAAGGAUGUCUUUGUCCGUACAAAAGGAGGCAGCAAUAAAAGAGGGCCUUGCUCUAAUAAUAAAGUUAUUCAAGUUAGCUCUAGGAAUAAAGUUAUGUGAGCUCUUCAUUCGAAUAGUUAUUCUAGGAACGAACAAGAUUGACCGGAAUAACUUAUUCUUGCUUUUUAAAACGUGUUUGGAGACACCCUUAGAUACUAUAUGAAGAUGGAGUUGUUCAUCCUAGUUAAUGUAUCCUACUAAAUGAUGUUUAUGCGGAUUUGUUACCUUUGGAUUUUGGUCCAAGGAAUUCACAGAUGGUUAGGCAUCACAGAUGACUAUGCAUUGUUACAAUAAGCUCAUUUUGUAUUGUGUUAGCCAAGGUUCACCAUCUCGGUACCGGAUUCCGUACCAGUACCAUUUUAUUAUUGUACCGGAUCCCGUAAUAGUAUGGUACAAGACUGCAUAUCAAUUCGGUACCUAUAUGGUGUGAUUCGUCCGGCAUGGUAUCGGUACGAUACGAUAUGCCCGGUAUGGUACGGUACGAUACCGACCCGUAUGACAAAUCUUGGUGUCAACUAAGUUUCUAUAAGAAAAAUUGCAAUAUCAAUUAAGUAAAUAAGUGGAAAACAAAUUUAGGUAUUUUUUAUCUGCUGAUGGGUAUUUUUUUGGAUUUUUUAAUUCAAUAUACAAGAUUUAAACAUUUAUGCUGUAAAAAUUUUGUAUGUUGUAGGUGGCUGCAAACAUGGUUCAUUUGGCAAGAAUAGCUAUACUCAACUCUAAGAAACUAUGGAAGAUGAAAAGAUCUAAAGCAAGGAGUGAACUUGAAAGAGCAAAACUUCUUAUAGACGACUCAAUCAGGUUUAUGCAUUCUUUUAUGCCUUUUAUCUUUUUUACUUGAUGAUGGAUCUAUGUAAUAAUAUGAUCCACAUUUAAAAUCCUUCAUUGUCGAGGCAGAAAUAGAAUAGGACAAAGCUGCUUCUUUUGGUAUACAUGGAUAUUAAACAGGUAUAAUGGAUAGCUGCUCAAGUUGACAGCUGAGUGCAUUCUUCUGAAUGAAAGCAUUUUAUUAAAAUUAUUUGAAUUUUCUUAUUGAAUGACCUUUUCCCAUUUUUACUUUCUGAAAGAGGACUUAAUCUAGGAUUUUUAUGCCUAUAAUUUCUUAGGAUAUAUGCAUCUGUAUUGUUGAUAAUUUAGAUCUAUUCAGUCUAUAAUAUUACUUUAAUUCACUCUAAGGUUUGGCGAACCAGUUCCGGAGGUUGUACUGGUCGGCGAUUGUUUCGGUACGGGAUGGGUCCAUACCUUGCCGUCCCAGGGCGUACCAAAACAAGGAGAGGGAGAGGGAGCAGGGGGAGAGGGGAAGGAGAGGGGGAAGGGCACACAAAGAGGUUACUCCUUAUGUGAUAAACAUUAAAUGUUAUUGUCUUUAUUGGGGUUUAAGUGCUGGUGCCCGUGGGCAUGCUGGCCAUGGGUGGCACAUGCUGAGCUGUGCCAGAAUAAGAAAAGAACUUAUACCCUUUUUUGAUUUAAAAAGAUUUUUAAAAAGAAUCAAUAUGUGCUAUGCUUGGUGCCAGAAAUGGUUCGUUCGACACAAUGUGUCAUUCGGUAGGGACCAGUACAGGCUAACACUUAAAAAGAUGUGAUCUUGAUGUCUCCUCUCUCUUCUCAUUUCUUUUUCUUCCUUUUCUUUUAGUGCUCAAUUUGGACAUUUGAAUGGAUCUCACUGGAUUUAUAAGAUUUUAAAAUUAUAAUGGAACUAAAUGGAACCUAGUGUUUUAAAAGCCAAUUGCAGGGUGCAAAGAAGUGCGGGAACUGAUAGUGCUUAGGUAGAAGGUGCGUGCAUAGGUAGAUGGCAAUGUAGUUUUGAAAAGAUAAAUAGGCUUUAUUAACCAUUAUUUCUAGCUGUCCUAUUAAUGACAAAUCCUAAUUCAAUAUUUUCCAAAUCCUUUAUCACAACUUCCGCUCAUGUUAAUUGAAAUCUUUCCUCCUUUUCUAGAUCCCUAAACAAGGAUUUAGGCACCCCUCCUGACCUGAGCUUAGUAGGUUCAUUGCUUAUGCUAUCUCAACGUGUUUUCUGGUUGCCCUGUCAUCAUGGCAUUUUUCUUACAUUUUCACUAAUACACUCAUUUCUUGGUUUGUCUUUCCAAAUUUUACCAUAUACGAGUUCAUGUUCUCAUGUUUAUUACAUCCAUUUAAUUUGCUUGGGCCCCUCUUUAAUGCCAAAGCUUCGAAUGAUGCGAAAGAGCGGGCCAUAGUAUUGUCUUGUCAAACUUUGCCAUGAGUUGCUUCAGGAAUGGGGAGCAACAAAGCUGGCUGCAGGCAUUUUGGACAAGGCUAAGUGCCUAGAAUUACAACUAUAUUUUAUUUGAUAUGGAUGUUCAUAUAACAUCCAGAAGCACGUACCUGCUUACCUCAUAUGUUGUUAGCUAUAUCUUCAUUGUCUUUCCAUUCUGUUGUAUGUAGUUGUUUAAUAGUGAACCUGGUUAGUUUGUGGUAUUUCUUGGCUAUCAACUUUAAAUGUAACCCUAAUUACAUUUCAAACUACAUAUUUUUGUGAAAAAGCAUGCAUCUGUGGUAUAAUCUUUCAGUAUCUGUUACUAGUUCACCAAUGAUUGGUGUAAAAAGAUUGGAGUUUAGUGGACCCUUGGUUGAAGUCUAACAUGAUCAACAUGCCACUAAAUCUUUAUAGCUACUCCUAUUUCUUGUCACUACCUCAACAUGCAUGACUUGAACUAUUUUAGUUUAUUGUUUUUGCACACCUUUCUUCCUUAUGACCACCUCAUGUUACUCCUAUUAUAUCAAGAAAUCAUAUGCCAUUGGGACAGGAUAGUACCACUACCCUUCUGAUGGAAAACUAGCACCUAUACCAACCUUGGGAUGCCAGAACUGAUUAGACCGGUCCAGUCUGUACCAACAGUCCAUACCGGUUAGUACCAGCUGUCCAUACCAACACCAUAGUCAUUGCUUUUCAUUUUUAUUGAUUCUGAAGUUUAGGUACAUAUCGACCAUGCCAGUAUUGUACUAUUGUGGGACAAAACUGAUAUGGGUUCUAAUAUAGCAGUAUUCAAAACCUUGUAUUAUAUGCUUUCUCCAAGUUGAUAUAUACCAUGUGCAGAUUCUUUUCCUCUGCUAAUCUUUGCCUGUGGAAGAAGUGGUAACCUUCACUUUUGAUCUGUUUUUGCAAAAAAAAGAAAAUGUACCAGUUCACGAAGGUGGUUGUCAUUUUGCUUGGUUGGUGCUCUAUCAAUUCUUCCCUUGGCUUCAUAGUUUGGCUCAUUGAGUUGGAUGCCCACUAAUUUAUGCAAGAUGAAGCUUGAGAGAAAUGUUUCCAUUAUUUAUGAGCUGUGUUAUCAGAUUUUUCUGCUACAAUGAAGAACCAAUUGAGUUAGCAUUCAGCUCAUCACCUGGUAUGUGGGGGUUGCAUGUUUCUAAGAGCUUAAAUUUGCUCUAGAAAUCCAGAAGAGCAAGGAAAAAAAAAACAAAAAAUCAAAUUCCUAACACUGGUAAAUAUUAUUGAUAUUGUAGCGGACAAUGUUCAGCCAGAAGAGAUCCCAUUUUUCAGACAUGCAUGAACUCAUCUUUAAUUUGGGGGAAGAUAAUUGAUUUUCAGAUUUUUUUUUUCAGCAUGUGAAUGGCUGUUUGCUGUAAGCUAUACAAUCUUUUGAUUAAACUUCUCUUUGAUUGACUGUUUAAGUUAAAGGAUGGGAAUAAAGAGGUUUGGCCGAACCUCCGAUAUUUUUCUUGAAAUUUGACUACUUUUAGCUCCACAUAAUGUCGUUAUGUCAAUCUAAUAUAUCCAUUGCUAAAGUUGUUUGAUUGCAGAGAAAAGAGAUUAUAGGUCCAAGUUAAUGUAUAUGUAAGCUAAAAUUGAACAUACACAUGCAUAAACUGAGAAUCAAUUUACUAUAGCGAGCGAUUUUUUGGAAUAGUUGAGAUUGGACAUGUUCAAUUUGCACGGCACAUCCAUGUAGUGUUUGAGAUAUUCUCGGUGGCAACCUUCUUCUUGGAUAAUGGCAAGAAGCUGAUUUAGACACUAAAAGUUAAAUAGUAAAACUAAAGUUUACCAUCUAAAUGCUAAAAAUUGUGGCAACCUUCAAGGUUUUUAGGUUGUACUUAGCCAUGUUGGAAGAUUUAUCAUGAAGCGAGAUGUGUAACAUUUUUUCUUGGAUAACGUAAGAAGGUGAUCUAGAUACCAAAAUUAAAGUUUAUCAUCUAAAUACUAAUAAGGCCUUGUUUGGACUUGCAGUUGGUAGAAGAGCUUUUGGAAGUAAAGUUUUUAUAAAAAGUUAUUUGUUGUUUGGUAAUUACAUUUCUAAAGGGUUAGGAAACCUUAACAUGUGUUUAGUAACCAAACUGAGAAAGUGCUUUUAGUAUUAUGACCUAACGACAAUAAAAAAUAUUGCAUAGUAUUGUACAGUAGAGUAUAAUACAAUGAAAUAUUACAUAUUAUUGCAUAAUAUAAUAUUAUUAUAAUGUAGUGUAAUACAAUAUUAUAUAAUAUAGCAUAAUGAUAUAACAUAAUAUGAUAUAGUAUAAUAUAAUAAUGUAUUAUUACAUAGUAUAAAAUUAUUAUAACGCAACAUAAUGUAAUAUAAUAUUGUAAUAUAAUUUUAUAUAAUAUAGUAUAAUAAUAUAAUAUGAUAUAAUACAAUAUAAUAAUGUACUACUGCACAUUAAAAUACUAUUAUAUAGUAUAAUAUUAUUAUAAUAUAAUAUAAUAUAUUUAUAAUAUAAUAUACUGUAUUUAUAGUAUAAUAAUAUAAUUAUGAGAUUUGUUCAUAAGCAUUUUGGUCACCACAAAAAUUUCAUAAAAGCCAAAACAACUUUCUGACAUUUGCCAGAAAACAACUCCCGAGUAGACUUUUUCAGUUUUCUAUUUUUGAGUCUAGACCUUUUAAGCUUUUUGGCAAAGUUGAAACAACUUUUAGAUUUUUUACUAAACACCACUAUACUAUCCAAAAGUUCUUUUGGAGGGAUGGAAAGUGCUUUUUGGCUUUCCAAAAGCUUUUCCAAACGAGGUCUUAAGUGUUGUAACCUUCUAGGCUUGUACGUGGUCAAUAGUGAUUUGAAAGAUUUAAUAUUAUGGAAUUUCUCUUUCCUUGAUUUUUUUGAAUUAUUUUUAUCAUAGAGGAUAACUUGUCAAGGUCUCCUUUGCUUCCAGAUUGUUCUUUAAUGCCAAAAUCUCUGAUUUAUGCUUGAUAUAGUAGAAUGUUUGAUGUUACUUUUCAAUAGUAUGAAAUAGAAAUAUUCUUUGUUUGCUUAUUUAUAGAACAAAUUCCAUAUCUUCACGGGUAUCAAAGGAAUGGACUCACUCUUAUAUCAUAUAAUGCAAAAAAUUCUCUAAAGCGAAAAGAGAAAAUAAUGGAGAAUAGGAGUGAGGAGGGGCAAAAAGUGUCAACUCUACAACCAUAAAAAUAACUGGUGAAAAAACUUCCAAAUUCUCGAACUUUAUUCGUCUAAAAAAUGAAUAUCAAAAUCUUUUUCCAUAGGGUACUAUAGUGUUAUGUUUAUAUAGCAUACAAGAAGAAAACAAAAUCAUAAGCAAAUUUAAAAUCUUGAAUUGAAAUUGAAAUUACUACUCUACAUUCUCUUAUAUACUAUCUAAAACUUCUUAUCACUCCUAGAAGGAGUCGGACAUGGUACAGACAGGGCACCUAGAAACAGUUUUGCCUAUCAAAUAAACACUAGAACCAGUGGAAGUAUUGGUGGCAUUUGCUGCAAAAUGAGUUGCAGCUUUUAGCAGUUUUCAGCCAUUCCUCUCCGUUAAUUACUAGAACAUGAUUUUUUGUAAUGCUAUGCUUUUUGAGCUGCUGCUAUUUGAGAUAGUCUUGCUCUGGUGCUCUUUUGUUAAGCCUAUGCUUUUGAUCCAAUUUUUUCAGAAAAAAUAAUUCUGCUACACUAACUUGCAAAAAGAGAGAGAGAGAGACCUCGUAUAUUGGCACGUUAAGAGUGUGGUGCAAGAUUGUUUGAUUAACUGUGCAUAUUAAGAUUAGUACUUCCCAUCAAAGAGGAUAAGAUUCGUAUGUGCAUGACACAUACGAGUAACGUAGCCAUAUGUGCAUGACACAUACGAGUAACUUAGUCAGCAAUUAAUCUUUUCCAGACAGUUAAAACCAAGGAUUGCUGAACCGAGCCAAUCCGCUCUCCGACUGGGUCGGUUCUCCAAUGAAAAACGGUUCCGGUCCCCUAGGGGCCGGAACCUGAUAGGAUGUGGCUGGAACAAACCGGAAUUGGACGGUUCCAUCCAGUUCGAACCAGUAUUGAACCAUACCGGUUGCCGACCGGUAUGGGUUUCGGUACCGGUUCGACGAACUUUGAUUAAAACGUUUGAAGUAGCAUCAGAAUGGCAUGAUAUAUCUAUAGUAGUCCUAAGAACAAAAACAAUCAUGCUUCUCCUAGCUUUCAUCAACCAUGUGGAAGUGCUAAGAUAUCGUUGUUACUUGGUUCACCAUUUCCUAAUAAUAUGUAAGAAUAUGUAAAAAAAGGCUAGAGUAACUUAGUUUCGGAUGUUAUUAAAAUAAACACAUGUUACUGGCUGACAAGUUAGUGAGAAGCAUUUACAGCUAAAUUUCAUUCAUAACGAGUUCCAUUUGUCGUAAACUCCCAGCCAAUAGUACAGGUUUGAUUUAAGUUUCCUAUUUUCUUUGACUUUGGCAGUUUUUAGUUUAUAAAUUCUAGUUUUUAUGUAUGUGAGCAUCUAAAUAUUGUAAAUUUCUAUGUAUGUAUGUAUGUAUGUAUCUAUCCUGGUAAUAGGUAUACAUGUAUAUCUAUGUAAAUGUGUGUAUCUAUGUUUGCAUAUGGUAGUAGCAGAUCACCUUUCAGAAACUUCUCAUUGUAGAUAUUGGGUGGUUCAGCCUGAGUGUACCUCCCAUUUUUCUUGUGACGUGCACAUACUUAACUGAUCUAACAUACAUGCAUAUUUUGGAGCUGCUUCAUGUUCAGUAAUUGUUUAAUCUCUAGCAUUUUCAUCUUUAAAUAAAUUAUCCUCUGCCAACUUGUACUCGUAGGUAUGUGUUUUGGGUCUGCAACCUAUUUGUUCUAUUUCUCAAAGUAUUAUUUCUGGUUAUCCUUCCUUUAUAGGAUAGCUAAGGCUGUUUUGGACCAUCCAAGCAAGAACAGAAAUAGCUUUCAAAGUAAUAGUGCACCUACUGAAAUUGAGAAGGAUCAGCAUGUAGCUCUGAUCAUACUGGUCAGUUUCUGUUGCACUAUAUAAUCUAAUGAAUAUAUUUAUUGUUGACUGGUUUCUGUUAUAAUGUCAACUGAAAAUUGUUAGCCAACAAAAUUCGACUCUUUUGUGAUGUAGUGCUUAUCGCACUGGUGAAUAUAUAUUGUACUCUAUUUUUUAAAAAACCUUUUUAUUAUUUAGUUUUCUUUUACUAUGCCAUUGAAAAAUUUCUAUGAUCCUGCGUAAUUCGACUCCAUGGUUUUUAACAAUAUGAUUACUUUGUUUAUUAAUUCAAUUUGGUUAUAUAAUUUAUAUUCGCUAGUUUUAUUGAUGAAUAAGGGAGUUUCUUCUAAUGCUGUCUUCUCUCAAGUCAAGUGAUACCAAACUUCUCCUUGCAAUAGAUUCUUAUAUUUUGAUGACUAAUGGAAAUUGAAUAUCAAGCUGCUUCAAUCUUGAUAAAUGUUGGUGUAUAAGUCAAGCCACCCUUUAUCAGAAUAAGAUACCAAGAUCAUAAGUAGCCUUAACAUUUAGGAUCCUCAGAAAAGCAAAGUUACUUGGGAUCUCUUAUUAUGGAUUGGCUCUGCUAAUGCUCCUUGACAUGAUUGAAGGUGGGAAUGAUAUUUUAGUACUAUAGAUUGGUGUGGCCAUAACGAUUACUUACAUUAAAUGGAUGCACAUGUUACCAUAUUCUUGUCGUUGAAAACCUAUGCAUCUGUUUACUUCUACUUUCAAUAUUCUAGUAUAACUAAUUAAAUGAAUCAAACCAUGCUUCCAAAAUAUUCACAAAUGUCUAUUUAUACAUACCGGCAAGAAAUGUCGAACACAACUUUUCCAAUCCAUUGUCUUCUGAUGUUGUAUGACAUUAGCUGGAAAAUUGGAGACUACCAGUCAUUUAUGGUGGCGUGCCAUCCAUUUAACUGUAAAACUGUUACCUGUAUGUUGAUGUUCCAUUUUAGUAUCGAAGAUUUAUCUUGUCCAUCUAUUAAAUAGCAAGAAUGGAUCUCGUAAUCUUUUACUUGAAUAGUUAGUUUGCGUCAAGUUUUAAAAUCUUUGUACCAAGAUCCAUUUCAAUUGUGUGCCAGUAUGGUACUGGUGCUGACCAAUAUCGGAAAGGCCAGAGAAAGGAUCCUCCCCCUGUUUUGACAUGGUACUGCUAUCAUAUUGGAGCAGUACCGGCACAUGCCACUAUGUACCACUCGAUACUGGUAGGUACCACCUGACACCCCUAAGUUCAGCCUGGUUUUGCCCAGAAUUGGGUACCAAAGGGCAUAAUACUUACUGGACCUUCACCACUCUGGUUUUCUUUAGCCAGUACAACGGACUUCUACUUAAAUCCUUGAAUUUGCAGUAUGUUGCCUAGGUCUGAUUCUCACACACAUAAUUCUAGAAAUGUUUUGAAAAUCAACAUGCUGUGUUUUUGCAGAUGUCUGCAAUGAACAACCUGGUUUCCAUUUUUAAAAUCAAGUGUUGAUUGUAGUAUAUGAAUAUUCGAAUAAGAAUAAAGGAAGAAGAGGGCACGUUUAAGAAGUCUAUGCAGUGCCAGUCUCUCUAAGAUGCAUUCGGUGUACCAUCAAUUGAAUUAGAUAGUUGAUGCAUUGAUUACUGUACCAAAUAGGUGACUUUCAGAAUGAAAGUUCUUAAAAUAUUGAAACUACAGCCUUUUCAGCAUCUGUUUAUACUUACCAUGUUUAUGGAACCUGAUUGUAUAUACAUUCUGUAUGUAGCUGCAAUCUCUGGAUGCUGUUGGCCUUUUGGAAGUUACAAAGCAAGAAUUACUGGAAACAAAGGUCUGUUUCUUAGCGCUUCUUCUUCUUUCUUUUGGAAAAAAUAUCUUAUUGGAUAAUUGUUAUUAUAUUUAAUGUUUUUAUUUAGGUGAUGAGUCUUAUUUUCUAACUGGGAUACAGUUCCUGGCUUUUAUAAGGCUGCAUACCUGGGGAUUCGGCUCAUUCAGGCCACAUUCCGUUUCCUCUCUGCAGCCUGUCUCCAUACAAAGGUGGCCUAGACACCGUGCCAGGUGGUUAGGAGGCACAUUUAUAUGUGGCCGCAGAGAUCACUUCUUAAAAUAGUAGAUACUGACUUUCUAGUUUUCAAGAAUCUGAAAGUUGGACCGUGCUCAAGCAUUAUAUGCAUGUAGUGUUCUCCAUGUCCGGGGAACUAAUUCGCUUCAGUAACUUGUUUACAAAACUGUAAUGUCUCCCGAUAGAUAUUAAUGUCCAGAUAGCCAAACACUCAAUUUUCUGUCAAACAUUGAAGUGGCUGAAUAGAGUAUUAAAUCAUUUUUCUCAGUUCUGUAUAUAAUAGAUGCCAUCGCCAUAACCUGUUGCAACAUAGACAAGAUUGUAAAUACAGAAAACUUUUGAACUGCAAGAUCGUUAUUUGAGCGAAGAGAUGUCUAGGGUUAGGUCAAUUGUUAAGGUUUUAUAUGAAUUGUUUCUAUCUUGUAACAUGUUUAUUAACAUAAGAGGAAUUUUGAUUGAACUUACUGCUUUUCUUUUUCCAAUUUCCAGAAGAUAUUCAGAUUAGGCUUGUAUACUUCUACAUCAGAUGUGAAUGGGUUAGAAAAAACAUUAAAAUAAAUUGUUUCUCCUUUCAAUGCAUGCAAACCCUAUUGCACUUGUCGCUAGCUAGUUUCCACAGAAUGCUUCGAGAUCUGUACCGAAGUUUCAUGUUCAGUAUGAUGCAGAUAUGAACGUGUAUCAAACGUGACACUUCAAAAUUUAGAAUGAGAUUUCUUACAUUGGUCGUGGGGUUCUGUCUGCUGCCACAAUUCAGUUACUCUGAGUACAUGCUAGCCAAGUUGUAUGGACAGUAGCUACGAGACUUAUAAUUUUAUAAUUUCUGCAAAAACAGUUAAUAGAUUCUGUAAUCCAUCAGCCUGUUUAGUGAUCUAUGUAUUAUUGAUUAGUCAUAGUAAGUACAUUUGUUUGUUUCCUUUUCCACUUUCAAUCCUCAUCAUGAUUUAGUUUGCCUUCCUUUCCGAACCUUGGUCUGGUCUUUUCAAUUUUUAACUGAAUCAGUGAUUGUACGGUCUAAACUCAGGAGGCAUGCGAAUUUCCAUCAGAGGCUGAACUUGCUCUUCGUGAGUGUGUUUCAAUCUUCAAAGAGGUACUUCUUUGUUUUUUUAAUGCUUUUGCCUUUGUGAAGACCAUUCUGCAGAUUUAUUUAAGCAUAUUUCUGAGUAUUGAAAGUCAGGUUGUCAUGUUACUAUUUUUUUGUUUAUUGUGAUGAAGUUAAGAAAUUUAGAAGAGUUUUCCUAUAAUUAAGUUGGCCAAAAGUAGGCUUGACACUACUAAAUUGGUUAGAGAAAACCUGUGGGGAUUUCUAUUCUAUUACCUUGAACAUGGCAUCUCUUUCUUUCCUAAAAGAUGGUGGCCCCGGUUAUGGAGGCAAUGCAUGCCUUCACCAUUCCCUUCUGCUAAUCAGCUUUAACGAGUAUUGUUCUGGUACUCUAUGCUCUCUGUAGAAACAAAUAUUAUUACAAGGUCAGGUAGAUACACUACGGUAGUGGAAGGAGCAACUGGAACCCUCAUGCUCCUGGAAAAGGCAUGUUUCUUCAAAGAUUGACUUACUGAGUGCAUUGGGUCCAUGAUGCUCAGGAUACUCCUGCACCAAGUGAACCAGUGAUAUAUAUGCUUUCAGUAAGAAAACGGCAAAGUACAAUUCUCAAAGCUGAUCUUCAAUAGAGUGGGAUAAGUCAUGUGGUUGUACAUAUCAUGUGUUGUGUGACUGUUAAUUUAGGUUAGUUGGUGCCUCAUGAGAUGGUCUAGUCACUGACAAUGUAGGCCAAAAAUCCUCAGGCAUCAAGGGUUGAUAGUUGUGUAGAGUAGUUAGGCAAUAUUAACUAAGAAGACCUAAACAAAAAUAGCAAGUGAAAUUAUUUAGAGACACAUCUGUGUCAGAGGAUCUGCAUUUUGGUGGGAACCCAUGGCAAAGUUUUAGAUAUGUAGAGCUGCCCCCAGAUCGAUUACAUGGGACUUCUUGUUUAUUUUAUUUAAUUGAGGUGCUUGAUUUGUUUAUAAUAGUUUUCAUUUCCCUACUCUUAAAUAUGUUUCUAUGGAAUAUCUUGACCAACUGCUUUGCUGUUUUGGAAUCUAAAAGGAGAACAACUUCGUGUCUAAUUUGGAUAUCUUGAACAAACUGUUCAGUUCGUAAUGCAUCCUAUCAGCAUGUCCUCUCGGCACUUGAUUCAAUGAUGUGCUGUUGUUUGUGAUGCAAGUUCCGUACUUAAUGAUUGAAAAAGCGAAACGUCCUUUUUCUACAUUAUAAGAUACUAAGCUGUUGAUAUGACUAACAGAUCACUAGUCUUUUUUUUCUAUUGGGUUCUCUGUGCAGUCUCAAACACGGAUGAUGUUGCUGAGUGCUUCAGAUGUCAGGGCAGAGUAUCUUUCAUGCCUGAAGCAUCUCAUGAGUCUCCUUAGUGAAAGUACAGAUGAGUCGAAGUUAAGAGUGCUACAAGAGCUGAAAUAUGAAGUCCAGCAUAUAGAAGCCGAGCUCGCACCAAGGAGGCAAAGAAAGUAAUCCAUUUUACUGAUCUGGCUUGUUAGGAUCUUUUCAGAGUCAGUGUUCAUCAUCCUUAUUCUUCCUUCCUGGAAAUGUAGAUUUUGUAUACUCUUGGUAGUACAAAUUUUUGCCACUUUAAUCAUUUUUUCUUUCAGGUACGAUGCAAAUAAGCUAAUAAGCCAGCUUAGUGGUCGGUAAAUAUGAUAGUUGGACAUUUUUGUCCAAUCAAAUUUAAAAGUAGGCAUUCUCUAAAAACUUCGCCAUCAGGUGGCUGAAGUCAUUUUUCUGUUGCUUUGUUCUUGUUUUCCGUGGGUCUGUGGCUUUAAAUUAAUAACCAGAUAUCCGCUUGCUUUCUGUCUGACUUGUUUUCGAUCCAAUCCUCGUGAGUUGAAUAUUUGUGGUGCUUAUGGAAUUACAGUGUACUGCUAGCGACCACCCGCCCAUUCAUUGCCCAGUUAACUGGUCUGGUGUGGUUGUCAGGGAUUGGUGCUGUACACGAGGGUUAAGUAGUGGCAGCCGGGGUGCUCAUACAUUAUUCAGUUAAUUACAGGCUUCCAUGUAGGACUGGUGAACCGAGCAGCAAAAUGGUGGUGAUCUGUAGCAUAUUUCUAUCCAUAUUAAUCAUUUCAGCACUUCAAAAUCAGAAUAUGCUUCUAUGGGGAUAUUGACGAUAAUUCAUGUUGAUUUCACAGAGUGGAGGUUGCUUACAUAAGAACCAUUUUAAACUUGUAUCCGAGCAGUGCAGUUAAUAUUUCUCUUUUUUCUAUCUUUAUUCUAUUAUAUAACGGAAAGCUGGAUUGGGAGUUUGGGACAUUUCUAUUGGAUGCAUGAUGGAGUUGGGCGCACCAACUUAUUUUUUUUUUCUUUUUCUUUUUAUUGGUUUCCGAGUAACACAGUGGUUUAAGGAAGACUCGUUCUAACGUGAGGCCUUGGGAUUUCUUUCUGCAAGCCGCUUGACGGUAUCAUGAGAGUGAAAUCCCAAGUUCCCACGUAUAAUAAUUACUAUAGUAAAUUCUUCUGAGCCCAUCACUUCCUCGGUCUUUUAGAUAUCCAUGUAGCCAUCCUUGCUUGAUUGUGCCCCUCCCUCCCUUUGAUAACACAGAGAGAGAGAGAGAUCCGUUCACUUUUCCUCGCAUUGAAUCUGUUGCUUAAGCCAUUGGCUACUUUUCUGACGCAAUGCUACCUGAGCCACACAUCCAGUCGUGAAUUAAUACAAGGUGUAACGUAUAUCGCACAUAUGCUCUAUUUUAGUAAAUAUAGCUAUAUCAAAAAUAGAUCUAAGAUUCAACGUCAUCCCUUCUCAAAGCCAAAUCAACCAUGAAUGAAAUAUCUCAAGAAAAAUGAUGAAAAAGUAUGAUGAUGAUACCAGCUUGCAACAUGGUUGCUAGUAUGUAUUAUCACUACAACUAUAAAUCGAAGGCUUAACUUUAUCCAUUUUUAAAAACCAAAUCAAUCAAGAAUGAAAUAUCUCUAAAAAAAAAAAGAUGAUGAUCCAACCAAGAGUGGAACAUCAAUAGAAGAAAAGGUGGUGAUGAUACCAACUGGAGUCAGAGUCGGCCGGAAUGCUCUGUUUUGGAGUUCUCCCUAUUUUAACCUUAUCCCUUCUGAAAGGCCAAAUCAACAUAGAAUGCAUCUCUAGAAAGAAAAAUAAUUCAACUAAGAACAUCUCUAGAAUCAACUUGACCUUAUCCCUUCUGAAAACUAAAUAAACCAAGAAGAGAACAUAUCCAGAAAAGAGAAAUCAACCAAGAAUGGAACAUCUCUAGAAAAAAAAAGGGAUGAAUAUUAGAAUGGAACAGCAACAUGAUGAUGAUGAUAAUGAUUCAACCAAAAAUGGAACAUCUCUAGGAAAAAGUUGAUGCUGAUGAUGAUUCAUCUUUUCUAAAAUGGUACCAUCAUGCACAAGCAAACUGCUUGUCUAAUAUGUUUGCAGCAUCAUAACCAAACAGAAGUAUAGAAUAAUGCCUGUUUGCUUAUCUUAGUGGGAGGUGUAGAAAGCUGAACCAUGUCACACAUGGAAAAAUGCAGUUGCUGAAUUCCUGACCUCUUCACACAGAUAACAAACAAAUUUUGAUUCUUGUAUGAAUACAUGCACUGAGAUAACUUACACAAAUUCCGCAAAUAAUGAUAAGGACAUCAAAAUAGCUGAAAAGAAGAAGGGGACAUCAGCUUUUCUUCAAGUUCUCGGAAACCUCGGUAAACAGGCUCAGUUUGAUUUUGUGGGAGGGCCAGACAUCGCACCUCAGUCAUAUAUCUGUCAUUGCAAAUCAACAUGAAUAGGGUUCAUUAGUUGUGAUCAUGAAAACAACAUUUCAAAAUGGAGAGAGGAUUCCACUAUGGAAGGAAAUUAGAAAAAGGCAAGCACCUAUGGGUGAGUCAUUCAUAAUCCACUUAUAGUUUUCAGAUAAAAGUCUAUAGCAAAACAUUAAGGCAUACACCAGCAAGCUGUCUUAUUUAAGAAGCCUCAUUCUAGAGACAUGUCCAAGCAAGCACCAGUUAACAUGCAUAAUGCAGUUUAAGAACAAGUGAACCACCCUUUCCAGGGUCUUUGGAUUUCCCUUUGGGUAAAACAUCUCCCCAUUUAAGGUUUCUUUUAAGAGUGUCCAUCACAAAAAGUGACAAAAUAUCUCAAUUUAAUGUUUCUAAGAGAGAGGGUUUUCAAUCCAAGGCAUGUUCAAAGUGUACACGGACAGAAGAAAGUUCACUUAUGUGGAAUCAGAAUCGGGAUUCUGUUGAAGAUGAUUCAAGCAAUUCAAUGUUUAUUUUGAUUUGGCAAAUGAAUAUACAAUAAUGAACGGUUUUAUACAGUAAUAAAAGUAUAGUAUAAUCAGCAGAGUAUUAAUCUCUAACUUCUAAACUAGAAUAGGAUGGUGCAGAAACAUCAGAGCAUAAGAAAUAUGGUAAUUCCAAUAUCUAAAGAACGUGAAUUCAUGGGUUGAUUUGUUUGUUGACCUUUCAAUGUUUUGCAUCAAUUAAGAUUUUCAUAACAACAUAUAUAGCAUCCUCGUGCUAGAUUAGUUGUUGUUAAGAAAUGAACUAACCAGUUCAGGUUUGAAUGGGUCAUUCACACAAGUUCGUGCUUGAAACAGCUGAUUCAAGCUCCACCGUAGGUUGACCGGGUGAAAAUAGGAUUGUGCAUAAAACUUGGUGCAGCUUAGGACACACCACCACAAAUCAGAGCAAGUCAGGGAAAUCAAACCUAUUUUUCUAAAUAUGGUAAAGAAUAGCCAUGCAAAUCUAUUACAAUUAUCUGAUUAAAUAUUUCCAACUUGAUGGUCAUUGAUCAAAACUUACAGGGAAAUCAAAGGAAGUUGCUUUUAAUUCAUCAGAUUGCUAUAGGAACAUGCAAUAACACGUAUUUCGUGUUUAGACAACAUGUUAUGAUGAGGGGAAAAUAGCAUUGUGUUUUAGGAGAUCAGAGCAAGCAGUUCAAGAAACCAACAAGAGCAUAGAAGAAACAGUUAAGAACCUCCUCUGUUUAGGUUUGAAUCUUUUUCAAGGUGCUACAUGGUCAAGGCAUUUGUGAUGCACAUAGCAAAGAAGCAUAGAGCUACUCUGCAUUUUCCUACUACCCAAAAAUUGUAUAGCCUUGCGGCCCAGGAAUGCCAAGGGAGUGAGAGCUCUAUAUGUACUCUUUUAAGACCCAUUUACUGAAGAGAAGAAAUAGCUACAUAAAUAGGGGAUGAAAAUGAGCUUGAUAGCCUGAUAAUGCAGUCUGAAUCUGACCUAAUUUUUUAACAAUUGCAUCUAACAAAUGGUACCAUAUAGAAUACUUGUAUGUAUGUGAAUAUCACAAAAAAAAGAUAAUGGGAAAACCUGUGGACCUUGUUUAGUAUGUACAAGUAUGAACCACUAUUUUGAAACGCAGCCACUGGCUCAGGCAGUUCCUCUAUUGGCCCGCGUAAGGACUGAUACAUAGGCAGCCCUCAUAUGCAGGCUAGUCCCCUAGCUGGUGCCUAAGCAGGCUGUCUAGGCUUACAAAACAACAAUCGGGUUUGGACUAUCCAUUGGAGUGAGUCAAAUGUUAGGUAGGUGGACCAAGAUGUCAAGCAGGCAAACUAUAAUCCCUAUGUAUAUCUUGUUUGUGCCCAAACAUCAUAGGUUUUGCUAAUUUUUUCAGUUAUUACUUCUGACUGUGUAUUGAUUAUUCGUCAUUUACUUGAAUUAUAAUUAUGCUUCAUUUUUUAAAAAGAUCAGUUACUGUCAUUAUAAAAUCAAUGGGAAAAGUUUUAGUUUGAUAUUUUGACACAUCAAGUCACACUUGUUAUAAAUGUACAUUUUAAUUCAUUCAUAGUUUUCAAGAAUAUGACUAUGAAUGCUCUCCAAUUUGUUGAUUUUUUAAUUACAAUGCGCACAUGCAUCCACCAAACUGCCAUCCUUCUGCCUAAGCGUUAUGCAGCCCCAUGGCUGCCUGAAUUCCACAACCAUUUCUAGAAACACCAAUUAAACCCAAAAAACUAAUAAUGAGAAUAUAGCAUCCAACUCUUCCCCUUUCCCUAUCCAACCUUCAGCACUCCCGAGCAACCGAACCCACUAACUAUCCAUCCCAUCUCACUGCUAACCCUGCAUAUCCCUUAUGUCUCACAAACUCCCUUUAUUGAGGGUAAACCCCCUUCCCGGUCCUCCACUCCAUUUGCUCUUUAUGUAAUCAGACCAACCACUAGCCCUCCAGUAAAAUAUACUCAAGCCCUUCUCACUGCCACAAACUCCUCACACCCACACUUCAUCAUUCAGCUCUUAAGAAGGACAAUAUGGUUGCAACCAUGAUGUACUCCAGCUUCAACACAUGGUUAUGAUCCUUUUGACACCCUCUAAGUUGCCAGUGAGGGACUCAAGCACAACAAUCAUGACCAACAAUCCCAGCCCUGGGCUGCACUUCAUAUUCCCCUCUGUCACUCUUCAAGCAUUACUUGAAACCCUGCCAAGGGUGGAAACAAGCUGAACAUAAGCAAGCUCCACUCUGUUCAACUCAGCUUGAAAAUAUUCAGGGUCAGCUCGAGCUCAGAUCAAGCUUGAGCUGACCUAAGAAAGUUAAGCUUAAGCUCGACUUGCACAUGAUCAAAUUUCAGCUCAAAAAGGCCGAGGUGUCUAUGGAAUGGGCGAAGUGAGAGCGAAAGGCAGAGAGGGAUCCUCGGUUAAGAAGAAGUGGAGGGAGAUCUGGCAGCGGAUGAUACAGAGAUGGAGAGGGUGAUCUGGCAGAGGCAUCAUCAAUAAUCCAUUGCAAUUGUGAGGAGGUGAUGUUAGGGAGGCGGCUAUGGAAGAGGGGGAGUUCCUCAAGAUGUCUUGGUGACGGGAUGAGGGAUAGGAUUGGAGGUGGAGGCAGAUGCUGAUAUGGAAAGAGUGCAAUUACAGUUUUUGAGUCGUCUCAUGCAAGGCCAAUAGAUCUAGCCACUGGAUCUUGAUCUAAUGACUAUCCAACAGCUAAAUUUGUUUAACCAUCACGUUAACAUAAAACAGCUAUCAAACAAAUGAUAAACAUACAAAUGUUUAUUAACAUUAUUCACUUAAAUUAUUAUAUUAUAUUUUUAGAUAUAUAAAUAUUUAUAUUAAUCAUAAUCAUCUCACAAUCAUCUAGCAUUUUCCCAACUAUUUGGGGUCGGCACAUUACAUAUAUUAAUAUAAAUUAACUUCGAGCUAAUGGGAGUAAAAAUCGAACAAAUAGGGUCCGGCUGGAGCUCAGCUCAUUCACUAACUAAGCAAACCAAGCUCGAGCCGAGUUUUUUAAGCCGAACAUGAGCUAGCUUGCAAGCAGCUUGUUCGUUUGCCAUCUCAAGCCUAACCAUGAUCAUCGUCACCCCAAACCCGAGUUCCACCUCCUUCUCUAUAGCCUUACUGGCCACUUCUUAGAGACCUGUCAUGGGCAUGGUUGCUCCCUACCCUAACCUCUUCAAUUAAUAUCCCUACAACUCACCACACCUCCCUAAACCCUAAUCCUUCUCUCCACCAAUCACCAAAAUAUUCCCCCACCUAGCAACCACCCUGCGCUACCUCAUUGUUAUCCACCCUCACCCUUUACCCUUGCCUAGUCCUAGUCCGGCUUGAACUGAACCCAAAAUAAACAAAUAUUUAAUAGGAUAUGGAUCCUAUUCAAAUUCUUUCUGGCUCACCGAUUUAACCAAAUCUAAGUCCUAUACAGUACUUCCUAUCCAUGGAAGCCCUGCUAAAAUCUCGACACUUACCAUCCCUAAAUAUAACAAAUAAAAGCCAUAAAUAGGCAACAAAAAUAGCUCAUUUUUAGGGAAAAAUGAAUCUUUCUAAAAGAAGAGUUGGAGCAGGGAAGUUUAGAUAAACAAGAAAUAAUAAAAUAUCAUUUAAACAUGAAUGCAAUCGAAACUCCAACUGGCUGAUGUUGAAUUGUGUUGUUUGCUAAAUAUAUUUGUUAAUGUUUCAGCCACAUUGUGUUCAAAGUUCAAACCAGAAAUAAAGGUAAGGCAUUAAAAUAAAAACAAUAAUUUAAGAGAUAAAUGAACUGCUCUAGUUCAUGAAGACAAAGAGCAGUAUAGAUAUUACAAAAAUAUAUAAGAUAAUUCCAGCAUUAGAAAAGAAAAUAUGGGACACCUACAUAUGCAUAAGAAUUCAAUUUAAAGACUGAACUAUCAUAAUUUAUAAUCCUUGAAAGAUAGAUUCCUUGGUCUGCAGCAUGAAUUAGGCACAAACAUGUGUAUGAUAUCAGAAGAAACUAACCUGUUUGCCAAACUAGUGAUUUUGUCCCGAAUUCCUUGUUUUACAACUGUGGUGUGCUCUAGGGACAAUGCCCCCCCAAAAAUUAAGGAAGCCCCAGCUGUUGUAGUUCCCAUAUUAUGUGCAAGCACAGACAUAGCCCACUCUCGAAGAAUCACAAGGACUGAUCGUAGAAGACGCAGUCUCAGAUUUGGUGAAGGUAGAAUUGCUCCAUUUGAUAACAAUUGGUCAUAAAUGCUCAAUACAGGCUCAGGUGCACCUCUACAGGCAGCAAGAAGAGCUCUUGCGACAUCCUCAUCUCCAACUAAUUCGACUCCUGAAGUCAAACGUUCCUGCCAAAGACAAUUAUUUAAUAUACAGAAGCAGGAAACAGGUCUCUGUAGUGUUAUUCCAUGUGCCUUCUAAUAUUAAUUUCCAUCAAAUAGCACCAUCACAUGCACAGCACACAAGCAGCAAGGACAAGUCUCAGUAGUACUAGUCCAUGUGUCAUGAUGGCAAUCUAUAACACCAUCACACGCACUAAAAACAAGCAGCCAAAACACAAUAUACAAAAUCAUAGUCAAGAUGGAAGCAUAGACAAUUUUUACCAGAGCAGCCUUCUCAAGAUGAAGACAUAAUGUAUCUAAAGGUAAGCAAGCUCCAUCUCCAGGAUAAAGAUUUGACCCCACCCUCUUGAGCACAGAACAUGCUUCUGCAACUCCACCUCUUGAAAGGGCUUGAUCGAGAAGCCUAGCCCAGGUUUCUCGAACGAUCUUGCUAUCAGCAUCUCCAGAAUAGUUUGCAAAGUUGAGCAUUUCCAAGCAUAUCUGAGCAGAAUAAAUCAUGUGAGGCAGCUUACAAUCAUUAUAGACAAAGAAGAGAGAAGGAAAAAAAAGAACACUUAAAGGUAACAAAGAUGAAAUGUUUGGGCGUGAGUACCAGAAUAACAUAAAGAAGUGCCUAAUGUCACAAAAUAGUCAGAAAAAGUUCUCCAUGUGAAGUUAUUAAACAAAAGACAGCAUGUACAGUAUUAUAACUUAAUGAAAUUCUUAUAAUUCACAAUAAGUUUACGUUCGUAUUGAAUCUAAAUAUAUUAUACAGAUUUAGGUACAAAAAAAUUUUUUUUCUCAUGGCAGGUGGAAAGGAGGUCACACAACGAAAGUUCAAACUAUAAGUGAAAACACUGAAUCAACUAGAGGAUCUGAAACAUUAAAGUGCCGACUCUAUAAGUAAAAGUUAAGUCGAUUAGAAAAAUUUUAAGGUGCACCGUACAAUAUACCAAGUUCACAACCUAAAGUCAGAUUCCACAAUUUGAAUAACAUUGAAUCAACCGUCGACGAAGCAAGUUCAUUCUUUAACAUGCAGGCCAUAAUCUGAUGACUUGUUUCCAACAGGGUCACAAAAGACAGAUACCAUCAGCAUCAUUUUUUUGUAGUAAAUUGAAGGCAUGAGUGGAAAGGGAAGCUACAUUAGAAGUUUUGCUUUAUCCAUCCAUUAGGCUCUUUGUAUCUUUAUCAGUUCCGGUGUAACCUUCCUAGAGGGGAUUAUUAUUGUCAUUGGAAAGUCAUUAAGCUAUUCGACAAUUCCCAAGGUAUCUUGAAGUGCUUAGAUUGAUCAUAUUGUAUUAAUAUAAGGUUAAACUUUCACUCAUAUAAAAAAGAAAAAUAUGCCCUUUUGAGAGUAAUAGAUUGUGCUGAUAUUUCUCAACUCGAAGAUGUGAAAAGCACUAUGCAGGGGGAUUAAAUAUCGUAGAUGGAGUAAUAGUAUGAUUCAACAUCCAGUAUUCUGCAUCUGCCAUCAUGAUUGUACGUAAGAUCAGAAGUAGAUCUUUUUGCCUUGAGUAUCAAAAAAUUUUCUCUUUGCCUUGAGUAUCAAAAAUUUUAGAAUACCAGAACGACAACUGUUAACAAGAUGCAAGAGUCUACCAAAAACUGUAAUUAAUAAUAUAAAGCAAAGUGUAAUCACUUUGAUUCCAAUCUUAGCCUUUAAUUUACAAUGUUCAUGACGCAUACAAUCAGUUUUCAAGACAGAAUGAUGUUGAUGGAACACAUCUAGGAAGAUUUUGUAUAGACUAUAAGCUAGCAAAGAGGUAUAAUGGAUGGUCCAAAACCCAUAUUCAAACUAAACCUUGAUCAAGGUACGUACUAGCAACAUUAAAGAGGUGUAGUGCAAGGUCAUCAUGGGAACUACUUACAAGAGGUAUGUUCUGAGCUGCAAGGAGCCCUAUGGAUUACAUUCAUCCUUUCAACUUGUCAAACACAAAUUGCAACCUAACUUUUGUAAUGAAAUUAAAUAAGCAUUACUAAUUAGAGCAAAUUGCAAUAUUCAUCUACGCAUAAUGGUAACAAACAAAUGUAAUAGAGAUUUCAAACAUGAACACACAAAUACGAAAAUUAAAUUGGAGUGAACCUCCAAGCAUGUGUUUGUAUAAUGCAUAUGCCUGAGUGAGAGUGUAUCCAUGUUUGAGCAUCUAAGCAUGCAAAUACAUACAGUAUGACCUUGGACUGAGGGCUUACAAUAUCAUGCUUUGCAAGAGUUGUCCAUAGUCAUAACAUCAAGCAAGUGAUGCAAUAUGGUGUUUCAUGAACGAAAACAUGUAUAUUUUUUCCAAGGCAAAUAGUCAUAUUGAGUUAUUUUGAAAUCCAACUAUCAUGGUUUGCCGUACCGGUCCGUACCGGCCGGUACGGGCCGGUACGUAUCGGUCCGGCCUGGGACCGGUACCGGAUCGGCGUGAAAUCCGGUACCGGUAGUUUAUUAUUGAAGAACCGGUACGGGACCGGUUCGGACCGGUACGGGACCGGUUCGGACCGGUACGCCACCGGUACGGAUCGGUCCGGGCCGCCACCGGUACGCCGACCGGUACCGAUACAGCGGACCUUGCCAACUAUGUUAAUGACACCAUAACUGUUAAGACAUCUUUGUCCUAGCCUGCUUAUAAUUGUAGAUAAACAUUAGCGUCCAAGGACUGCACCCCCCAACAAUAACUGCUGUGCAUGCACAUAUAUACCCUUAGUUUAAGUCUGCAUGUAUGAUUUCUUUUUGACUGAAUGUGUUCUAGCAAAAUUAAAAUCUGGUUCUAAUAUAUUUUCACUGCAUAGUACAUAUGUUCUCUUAGGUCUUUGAAAUAUAGUGGCAUGCCAUACACAUGUCUGUGCUGCUAUUAGCAGUUCUCUAAGUGAAUUUCAGUUGAAAAUGUUACAGUUCAAGGCAGACCCAAAACUUUCAAGGCAAGGUGGAACGUCAUUUUUAGAUUUGCACUGAAUGUAUAGCGAUAUGGCAUAUCAAACUUCAAAGAAAAUAUCUCCAUUCAGAAAUCAAGAACUGACUCAAAUUCCACGCAAAGAAAAUGUGAAGUGCAUAUGGACAUCAAUGGCAAAGAUGAGACAAAUUGCAUGAGUUGGGGCAUGAAACAUUAUUUUUUACAGCAUUUUUUUGAUAUAGCUGAAACCAUCAGUGAUGAUGAUCUCUAAAAAAUAAAAUAAGUAUCCUUAAUUCCUUAUGCAAUAUUUGAUAUAAAAAUGGCAGGAUAAUAAAAUCUUUAAAAUGAAAAGGCAGACCUCCCAAAGCUUAAAUGGAACAGCAUAUUCAUUGUAUAGCUGAGUAAUGCUCUUCAGGUUCAGCGCUAACUCUUUCGCCUUGCCUCUAGCUGACUUUAAAAUUUCAGCAUCACCUGCUUGGUUACUUUGCAGAGAGGGGUCAUUUGAAAGAGCUUCAUUAGUGCCCAUUAAGUUUUCUGACCUUGAUGCUAUCAACUCCAGCUCCUUUUUUAUUUUCAUUUGGAAUUGAAGAACUGCAAGUUUUGCUUCAAGCAUAUCCAGCAAACCAUCAUCAACAGUAUUUCUGGUUGAACCGACAGGACCAACACUAGUCGCACUUUUUGCCUGCAGAACUGCAUUGCUAAGAUAUUGAUGCCUGGCUUCACCAAGAAAGCAUGUGUUAUAACUGAUCGUAAAUCAUCCAUUUAGGCUAAAAAUGGAUUAUUAUAAGUUCAGGAAUCAUCUUAAAACCUUAAGGAGGACAAAACAAGUGGAAAUCAUUGUUCACAUACCUCUGCUCCAAAGUGGGAGCAUCCUCUGCUUCAGUGCAUUGCCUUUCUGCCAAUCUAUAUAGAACAUGAGCAGCAAGGAAAUGCUGCCGCUUCAAGACAUAAUACCUGGCUAGAAGGUCAAGAUACUUAGUGUGACUAGAAGGAAUAGGUGAAUCAAAAUCACCUAUCGGAGUAGUUGAUGUUACUCCAGCAACAGCCCGGACCUAAACAGAAAUGAAAUAAGAAAUAAACACAACACACAUCCAAGUCAGUAGACCCUGCUGCACAGGCAAAUAGAUUUCAAUUUCAUGAAGUGCCAAUAGAAUGUUUUCUCUGAUUAAAAACCUGAAAUAUCUAAGUCACCAUCACUAAGCAAAAAUUUCCAAAUGGCCAUUAUGAUUAACCUUUCCACUAGCAAGAAUUUGUAAAGGUUUCACAUUUUUCAGUUUUAGCAAGUAUUCCCAUUAUUCCAAAUUUCCAACUAAUGGAUCGAUGUAAAGAGAAACCCAAGCAUAUAACAAGCUCAAACUGCUGUUUGAACUUUGAACAAAUUUCCCUAGAAAAAGCAGAAUUUUAGAUAUGGGAAAUACAGAUUUAAAAAAAGCCUGUAAAGGCACAUAGUUCAUAUAGUGAAAUCUCCAGGUGCAUGAUCAACCUUGAACGGCAGGGGGAAUAGCAAAGUUGAGUCAUAUUAGGGAAAGUGUAAUAGUCUCUUGUAGUUCAACAUCCAUUAGAAUAAAUACAUAUUCAAUGUGCUCUCAGAUGUAUUAUUUGGUCUAUAAGUUUGUGCAUUGAGUGCCUACAUAAAGAUUUUGCAUGGUCUUUUUAAAGUCUUAUAGGUUGUGAACCAUUUGUAAUGGUUUGACCAUUUGGCCUUAUGCCUCGUCUAACUUGCAUUGACUUUGAUAGCUCCCCCAGUUUCAAAUUUAUAUCAGUGCAUAUAUAAUUGGAAAAAACAAAUCUAGCAAAAGCCUUUAGAACUCAUUGAACUUCAAGCAGAACAAACCUCUUGCAGUGGCUUACGGCCAGCACUCUGCAGAAAGGACACCAAAUCUGAACCUCCAUACUCCAAUAAUUCAUUUUCAAGUCCGAGUUCAAUCAUUGUCCUGUAUAAAUGUUCAUGAAAGGCCGUGUCAGGCCACUGGACACUUAGCUGAAUAAUUUGUCUUAUGUAUCUGUUCCGAGAAGCCUGAUCAAGGACGGAUCCUGCACCAGGAAGUCUGACAGAAUUGCCAAAGUCCCUCUGCAUCCCACUUUGUCCAACACCCUUCAAAGAACGAAGGGCAUUCAUAAUUAUUUCAUAGCACUGUUCAUGUUCAGCAAGGGCACUAUCAUGGGUUCUCGGAUCAAUUCUGCCAUCAACUACAAGACCCCUGGAGUAAAGUGUUUGAGCCUUUUGCAGUGGUAAGCGUACUACAGCUUCAUAAAACCUGCAGUAUGCAAAGAGUCACUGUUAGUUUUCAAAUAUUACUCUUCAGAACCGAGAAAUAAGAUCAUUAGAUUCUAUCAGAAAUUUUAUAACAUCAAAAAGAGAGCAUUAACCUUAAGUCUUCAAAUCGUUUGCAUAUGGUGCUCAAAUCUGCAGACUCUGGAAUUUUACUUAAGAGGUUGAAAGCAUCUCUAGCAAGAUUUUCCCUCUCAUCAGCUUUCAUAGUGACAGCAGCUCUCUCAAGACACUCUACUGCUAGGAAAUAUUUGUAGUCAGACUCAUUGAAGUAACUUGGACAACCCUCCCUUAGUUUCAUACUGAUCUCCUCUACUGUGCCUCU
RNAcentral lists this long non-coding RNA (32543 nucleotides) under Phoenix dactylifera (date palm). RNAcentral describes it as "long non-coding RNA (PDAC_LNC000448)". The record is from RNAcentral. Lineage: Eukaryota; Viridiplantae; Streptophyta; Magnoliopsida; Arecales; Arecaceae.